UGGGGAAUUUUGGACAAUGGGGGCAACCCUGAUCCAGCAAUGCCGCGUGUGUGAAGAAGGCCUUCGGGUUGUAAAGCACUUUUGUCCGGAAAGAAAUCGCCCUGGCUAAUAUCCGGGGUGGAUGACGGUACUGGAAGAAUAAGCACCGGCUAACUACGUGCCAGCAGCCGCGGUAAUACGUAGGGUGCGAGCGUUAAUCGGAAUUACUGGGCGUAAAGCGUGCGCAGGCGGUUGUGCAAGACAGAUGUGAAAUCCCCCGGGCUUAACCUGGGGAAUGGCAUUUGUGACUGCACGGCUAGAGUGUGUCAGAGGGGGGUAGAAUUCCACGUGUAGCAGUGAAACGCGUAGAUAUGUGGAGGAACACCGAUGGCGAAGGCAGCCCCCUGGGAUAACACUGACGCUCAUGCACGAAAGCGUGGGGAGCAAACAGGAUUAGAUACCCUGGUAGUCCACGCCCUAAACGAUGUCAGCUAGUUGUCGGGUCUUAAUUGACUUGGUAACGCAGCUAACGCGUGAAGUUGACCGCCUGGGGGAGUACGUCGCAAGAUU
This 549-nucleotide ribosomal RNA is filed under the name uncultured bacterium. Its description in RNAcentral is "partial 16S ribosomal RNA". It matches the Rfam family "Bacterial small subunit ribosomal RNA", at positions 355 to 895 of the family's 1533-position model. The record is from RNAcentral.